AAUGAAGUGUCUGAAUGAAAAGAGUUAUUUUGAUAGAAUAAAAAAUGUAAUUUAAUUACCUUCAUUA
This 67-nucleotide transfer RNA is filed under the name Ochthebius atriceps. RNAcentral's name for it is "tRNA-Ile". Lineage: Eukaryota; Metazoa; Arthropoda; Insecta; Coleoptera; Hydraenidae. The record is from RNAcentral.